GACGAACGCUGGCGGCGUGCCUAAUACAUGCAAGUCGAACGAGAGCGACCGGUGCUUGCACUGGUCAAUCUAGUGGCGAACGGGUGAGUAACACGUGGGUAACCUGCCCAUCAGAGGGGGAUAACAUUCGGAAACGGAUGCUAAAACCGCAUAGGUCUUUGAACCGCAUGGUUUGAAGAGGAAAAGAGGCGCAAGCUUCUGCUGAUGGAUGGACCCGCGGUGCAUUAGCUAGUUGGUGAGGUAACGGCUCACCAAGGCCGUGAUGCAUAGCCGACCUGAGAGGGUGAUCGGCCACAUUGGGACUGAGACACGGCCCAAACUCCUACGGGAGGCAGCAGUAGGGAAUCUUCCGCAAUGGACGCAAGUCUGACGGAGCAACGCCGCGUGAGUGAAGAAGGUUUUCGGAUCGUAAAACUCUGUUGUUAGAGAAGAACAAGUGCUAGAGUAACUGUUAGCG
RNAcentral lists this ribosomal RNA (457 nucleotides) under Granulicatella adiacens. Its description in RNAcentral is "bacterial SSU rRNA". It matches the Rfam family "Bacterial small subunit ribosomal RNA", at positions 28 to 474 of the family's 1533-position model. The record is from RNAcentral. Lineage: Bacteria; Bacillati; Bacillota; Bacilli; Lactobacillales; Carnobacteriaceae.